Long non-coding RNA from Sinocyclocheilus rhinocerous, 185 nucleotides. RefSeq lists it as uncharacterized. The record is from RefSeq and is a predicted model, not a curated record. The transcript has 3 exons. NCBI's taxonomy places the organism in Eukaryota, Metazoa, Chordata, Actinopteri, Cypriniformes, Cyprinidae.
UUUUAAUUUAUUUUCAGAGGAAAGGUCGCCCCCCUGGUGCAGUUGUACAGUACGACAGACCAGCCCAGUACAGCACUGCAACAAAACCCAAAGUGUCCGAGCCAAUAAGGCGGGAAGGACCUAAGUGGGACCCAUCCAGACUGACUGAGAACAGCACAUUCGUUCUGGGAUCCAGGGCAAAUAAG